Molecule: ribosomal RNA, 984 nt
Filed under: uncultured organism
Description: bacterial SSU rRNA
Rfam family: Bacterial small subunit ribosomal RNA
Source: RNAcentral
GCCCCAGCUAACUACGUGCCAGCAGCUGCGGUAAUACGUAGGGUGCAAGCGUUAUCCGGAAUCACUGUGCGUAAAGGGUCCGCAUGUGUCCCGUNNAGUNAGAUGNUAAAUCGCAGUGCUCAANCUUGCGGCUGCAUCUAAUACUGACAGGAUAGAGGAUAGGUGACGGGAGUGAANUCCNUGGNNUGAGAGUAAAAUCCGUAGAUAUCAGGAGGUACACCCGUGGCGUAAGUCGGCUUCCGAACCUAUUCCUGACACUCAGGGACGAAAGCUAGGGGAGCAAACAGGAUUAGAUACCCUGGUAGUCCUAGCUGUAAACGAUGAAUACUAGAUACUGGGUGCUACACCGUACUCACCGUCGUAGCUAACGCGUUAAGUAUUUCGCCUGGGAACUACGAUCGCAAGUUUGAAACUCAAAGGAAUUGACGGGUCCCCGCACAAGCAGCGAGGCAUGUGGCUUAAUUCGAUGCAACACGAAGAACCUUACCUGGACUUGACAUGUUUCUGAAAGGCCGGAGAAACCCGGUCCCUUCCAGUUUACUGGAACAGUUUCACAGGUGGUGCAUGGUUGUCGUCAGCUCGUGUCGUGAGAUGUAAGGUUAAGUCCUUAAACGAGCGUAACCUUUGUCAUUAGUUGCCACCGGUUCGGCCGAGCACUCUAAUGAGACCGCUAGCGACAAGCUAGAGGAAGAUGGAGAUGACGUCAAAUCCUCACGUCCCUUAUGUCCAGGGCCGCACACAUGCGACAAUGGUAGAGACAGCGGGUUGCGACGGGGUAACCCUGAGCUAAUCCAUAAACUCUGCCUCAGUACAGAUCGAGGGCUGAAAUUCGACCUCGUGAAGAUGGAGUUGCUAGUAAACGCAGGUCAGCUAUACUGCGUUGAAUACGUUCCACGGGGAUUGUACACACCGCCCGUCACACCACCCGAGUCGUGUGCACCCGAAGUCGGAUACCCUAACCUUUGGAAGGGUCUGCCGAAGGUG